RNAcentral lists this long non-coding RNA (639 nucleotides) under Homo sapiens (human). RNAcentral describes it as "HSALNT0315933". Lineage: Eukaryota; Metazoa; Chordata; Mammalia; Primates; Hominidae. The record is from RNAcentral.
AUGAGCUUGGAGCCGCAGGGCUUAAUCCCGCGCGGCUCAGAGAUGGGUUUCUGGACUCGCGAAGCAGCUGCAACAAGGCAUCACUCACUGUAUAAGUAUUUCCAUUUCUGAGAGCAAAAGGAAGAACUUAAGCGGGCGGCACUUGGAGUGUAAAUUGCUUUGUAGUAUUUAAAGGCAGAAUGGAUCCUGGGCAGCCGAGCUGAUCAUGAGGUUCCUGAGGCCUCCUAGCCAUGCUUCCUGUGCAGCCUAUGGAACUCAACAAACCGGCAGGACUUCCUGUGAAAUCAUGACCACCAUGUGCUCUUUCAGCCUCUAUCAGUUCCUACCUCUAAGCACCUGAGAGCCAAAGCAAACCACAGGAAACCACAGGCCUUUGGAGUCAGACUGGAACUACAGCAUUGACUCUUCCGGAACUCCAGCUUACUGACUACAGAUCUUGGAACUUUUCAGCUUCCACAACCAUAAUGAAAGCCAAGCAUAUUCCAUCAUUUCCUAAAACCAAGAUAGAGCACAUAUGGGAACUUGUGAAAUAAGGAUGCCCUGCGGUUGUUUUCAGGACUGAAGACAACAGCUCCACGAUGAAACCAAAGCACAAAGAGAGAAAGAAAAGAAAGAGAAAAAAGGAAGAAAGAAAAGAAA